Molecule: long non-coding RNA, 2981 nt
Organism: Triticum aestivum (bread wheat)
Lineage: Eukaryota; Viridiplantae; Streptophyta; Magnoliopsida; Poales; Poaceae
Exons: 2
Source: RefSeq, a predicted model, not a curated record
GAGCCUAUAGGCCCCCUCGCCGGCCGCCUCCCCUCGACCUACCCUGCAUCCCGGAGCGCGCUCCUCACCGCUCGCCUGAGAUCCUCCGUCCCGGCACGCCGCCCCUCACCAGUCACCACUCUCCUGCGACCCUCCAUCCCGGCGCACCGUCGCUCGUCACCACUCCCCUGAUACCCUGCAUCCCGGCGCGCCGCCCCUCGUCAUCGCUCCCCUGCGACCAACUGCGUCUACUACCUCCGCACGGGGGCCUGCGGCUACGGGAAGAGCUGCAGCUACAACCACCCUCGCGAUCGCGCCUGCCGCGGCCUGAUCAUUCACACCGUCAUAUGGUCAUAUUUGUUUCCGAGACUUCAAAGCAGGUUACCUCCACUCGGUGCAGAGAAAUGCAAUGGCACUCAAGCACUGGAUAUGUUGCAAUGGACAUGACCCCAAAACUUUCUCCCUCUCUUUUAUUUGAGUCACAAUUCAGUAAUUUGUUUACAUAUUUCAUUCGCUCAAAAGACCAUUUAGAUCUCUGUGUUCUCUGCUACUACAACUGAGGAGCAACUUGACAGCUUUAUGCAGCUCGGUCAACUAGGCCGCUGGGACGCUGGGGGAGAAGGACAUCGGUGCAGAGCAUGGCAAAGCCGAGUACUUGUUGGAUCUGAGGGCUUCUGAUCCACAGUUCUCCGCAUGAUCAUCCAUCAGCAUCUAGUGACAUUAACACUCAGCCGCAUAAGGCUUUCUCCCCACUAUAGUUGGAGUUCAAGAGCGUAAGGAAGGUAAUCUGUUGAUCAAUUACUGUUGCUUGUCACAAAACUCUGAAAAAUAUUACUGAGUACAUCUACAACGAGCUAUGCUUGCCAUUUAAAAGAUGCUUAUGUGAGCUGCGUGUCAUAUCAAUUUUUUUAUGCAAGCAGAUCUUGCGAUUUACAUAUGAUUUAUGAACAUAAAUUGUUUACUGUGUAACCCCUAAAUACAGUAGAAGAGAAACAAAUCUUAUAAAACUAUGCUGAGACGAGUAGUACUUAUUUAGUCAAGUGACAUGUUAGAUAAAAUUCCACACCUAUUACAACUUAUCUGACUUCUGUAUUUUUUAAUGAUAGCUGAACUAGAUUGUGUUCCAGGAAUAGAAAACCAUGGAUGUUUUCCAUUUAUUCACUUGGCUAUUGGAAUUUGAUUGAUGACCCCUUCUCCUAUUAUUAACAACAUAUACCUACACGGUUCUGUCUGCUGGUUUGCCAAAUUCUAGACACUUCUUUUGUGGUUCGUGCUUCCGCUUUAUACCAUGCUUGCCUACAUCCGUAGUGUCACUCCUUUAUUCUCUUGAUGUGCUUUUCCUUUACAAGGAAGAAUACACACCAUGAGGAAAAGAGAAGUAAAAUUGUAGCAUAUGGCAACUUUAUAAAUACUUCCAUGUUUCUGAUUCAUCAUGAGGUCAUGUACUGAUGGAUUGCAAAAAGAAAAAGAAAAAUAAUGUCAAUUGUUUCUAUAUAACUUUAAUUGGCAUGGUCCAUCUGUAGUGUCGUUCAAUUAUUAGACCACAUUCAAUAUUAUUUUUUGGAUGCCUGCAACUUCCAACUAAAUAGAUCGCCGUAUCUAUAUCUGAUUUGUAUUUGUAGUCUACAAACAAGACAUCCUAAUUAUUUGUUCGAACAUACUACAGUCUUGUUUUCUCUGCCGUGUCUUCUCCUUUUCUUAAUAGUGUCACUGCCUUUGAUUUAUCUGCUCAGAUGUGCUAUUUAGAGUUUGAUCUGGAUAUAUACUAGCUAUUUUAUUAGGAGUUGGUGGUAAAGAUGAACUAAUGGUUGAUCCGCCCUGCUGUCCAUGCUGCACUUCAUGCAAAAUCAUUGGGUCGGUACUGGGAGUACUCCAUUUAUGAUAGAUCUUAUGCUUCAAAGCUUCUUUUUAUUGUCUAAUAUGUUUUAUUUGCACUAAUUUGGUAAAUUUAAUUUAUCUUUUGGCUUAAUAUGUCCCAGGUAUUGAUAUAGUAAUAUGUUUUUACUUGAUUAAUGGCCAAACAUUCUGCUUCAGUAUCUUCCGGUAGGUGCCUCAGAAUUAUGCAGUUGAUCAUACCAUACUGCUACUCGAAUAAAAAUGUCUAUCUUUGUGUUCUACACUGAAGCUAUCAUAUGAAGUUUAAUUAUUUUCAGCGUCCAUCACCAAAACUACUUUGUUUGUAGUGAAAGGCUUCAUAGAAUUUCAUAGAUGUUGCACAUCAUGAGAUUAACCUGUAGAUGUAUUCAUAACCAUAUAGUAGAGGGGAAGAUGCAAGCACGACAUGUCUUGGCCUCUCAACCUUUUCUGUUAUAUGUCGCGUUUCUAUUAAUUAUUUUGCUUGACAUGAUUCUGCCAAUGGUAACUUUGAUUUUCUCUAACAGGUAGGAACAAAAGUAUUUUUAAUGAGCCUAAAAAAUCAUAACACAUGUAGCUCUUGCUACAGUUGUAAGUUGUGAUCCUAAAUUUGAACUUGAUGGUGCUGAAAUUACUAAUGAAUUCUGGGUAGUGCAUGUUGAUAUGGCACUUGUGAAAAUUGAAGAUUGGGUACAGAGUCGCAAAAACUGCAAUACUCUUGGUAAUGUAGAUUUGUUUUUGCAUCUCAACCUCUGUAAGUGAGUAAUAUCCUCCCUCUAUGACUACUUGCAUCAUGUCAAUGCAUUGUGUGUUAACAGUUCAUUUUGUUUUUUUGUUUGUAGAUUCAAAAGAUAAAUGGAUGAUUCUAUUGGUGUGUGUGGCAAGUAUACUACAAGGAUGAUGAUGAUGUUCAUGUUCAUGAUGAUGAAGAUGGAUGGUUUCAAUUUUAGUUAAGUUGUAGGGAUGAUGUUCCUGUUGGAUGAUGUUCCUCGAUUGUGUUUUAGUUACGUUGUAGGGAUGCUUUCAAUUUAAGUUUUGCCGUCAAGAAACAUUUAGAUUAUACUUCCCAUGUGGAUGAUUUUUCUUGUGUAAUAUGCACUAUUGUAAUCCAACAGUUUUAUUUAAUAUAUGAUUUCUUCCUCUUGUGA